RNAcentral lists this ribosomal RNA (407 nucleotides) under uncultured bacterium. RNAcentral's name for it is "bacterial SSU rRNA". It matches the Rfam family "Bacterial small subunit ribosomal RNA", at positions 355 to 776 of the family's 1533-position model. The record is from RNAcentral.
UGAGGAAUUUUGUGCAAUGGGCGAAAGCCUGACGCAGCGACGCCGCGUGGAGGAUGAAGUCCUUCGGGAUGUAAACUCCUGUCAGUGGGAACGAAAAAAAUGACGGUACCCACAAAGGAAGCACCGGCUAACUCCGUGCCAGCAGCCGCGGUAAUACGGAGGGUGCAAGCGUUGUUCGGAUUUACUGGGCGUAAAGCGUAUGUAGGUGGUCGGUUAAGUUCAGUGUUAAAUCUUAAGGCUCAACCUUAAACCUGCACUGAAUACUGGCUGACUAGAGGGCAAUAGAGGAAGGUGGAAUUCCCAAUGUAGCGGUGAAAUGCGUAGAUAUUGGGAGGAACAUCAGUAGCGAAGGCGACCUUCUGGGUUGUCCCUGACACUGAGGUACGAAAGCGUGGGGAGCAAACGGG